Molecule: ribosomal RNA, 400 nt
Filed under: uncultured bacterium
Lineage: Bacteria
Description: bacterial SSU rRNA
Rfam family: Bacterial small subunit ribosomal RNA
Source: RNAcentral
UGAGGAAUAUUGGUCAAUGGGCGGAAGCCUGAACCAGCCAUGCCGCGUGAAGGACGAAGGCGUUCUGCGUUGUAAACUUCUUUUAUAAGGGAAGAAACCUACGAUUUCUAUUGUAGCCGACGGUACCUUAUGAAUAAGCACCGGCUAACUCCGUGCCAGCAGCCGCGGUAAUACGGAGGGUGCAAGCGUUAUCCGGAUUUACUGGGUUUAAAGGGUGUGUAGGCGGGCUUGUAAGUCAGGGGUGAAAUCCUACAGCUUAACUGUAGAACUGCCUUUGAUACUAUAAGUCUUGAAUAUUGUUGAGGUAGGCGGAAUACAUCAUGUAGCGGUGAAAUGCUUAGAUAUGAUGUAGAACACCGAUUGCGAAGGCAGCUUACUAAGCAAAUAUUGACGCUGAGGC